Molecule: long non-coding RNA, 3931 nt
Filed under: Sorghum bicolor (sorghum)
Lineage: Eukaryota; Viridiplantae; Streptophyta; Magnoliopsida; Poales; Poaceae
Description: long non-coding RNA (SBIC_LNC011389)
Source: RNAcentral
AGGCCCCUCUGCUCCGCUGCGACUGCUGCUGCUUCCGCCGGCUGCUGCUGCUGCUGGCGGCCUGCCGCGCGUAGGCCGCGUCGUGGUGCAUCGGCUCGUAGCGGCAGUCCUCGCUGCAGAACGGGGUGUCGCCCUUGUACAUGAAGAUGUCGCUGUUGCAGGUGAGCGGCUUGGAGCAGAGCGCGCACGCGUUCAACGCGGGCAGGCGGGGCUCGCCGAUCGGCUCGGUGUCGAAGAAGAAGCCAGCACAGGCGAGCGAGGUGGCCAUGGUUGUUGCGCUUCGUUUUGGGUGGUGGCAGGUGGGCGGCGGACGACUCUACAAGACAAGAACUGCAAGGCAGGUCUACAGAGUUCAAAGCUGAGCUCGGCCGGCGGGUAGCGGGGACGCGGGGUAUAUAUGGCGGGUGGAUAGGGGCCGGGACGUCUCGGCAGCACCGCCGUUGCCAGGCUGCGGAUGCAUACGAGCUGAAACGGGAAACGGGCAAACCGCGGUGCGAGAUGGCCCAUUGAUCAGGGAGAGACCGCGCGUCGGACUCGGCCUUCCCAGCCCGCGGUUUUUGGUGGACGGAGUGGUUCGGCUGGCUCUUCUGUCUGGUGGGCCAUGAUGUGGUGAUAGGCUGACUCGGCUUGAUAUGGCAGCAGCUGUGUCUGUGGCUUGGUGGCCCGCACACCCGGGUCCACCUGUACGAGAACAGGCCAAGGAGGCGGGUCCGCUCACGUAUGACGUGGUGGCGGGUUCGGAAUCCCAACAAAAGACGAAUCGCGCCAAAACAAAAGCGUCUCUGUUUUUAUUUACGCACAAGCAAAAACCCUGUGCUAUCGUAUAUUCGUAUCAGUAUGAGCCUAUCACGGUCAGCGCAAGUGAAUCCAUUGCCCUUAUCUGAAUUAGAAAUACUGUGAGUUUGCUGCGCUUUGUGCAGAAAAAUCUGGAGGCAAAUAUUCUGACGCACUGUGAUCGAUCGGGAUCAUAUUCUGGAGUUGUAUUGAUUUGCAUUGCAUCAAAUUAACACUACCGCGAUACGGUGCUGGUGCAAACUCCCAAACUUUGGCUUACACUAACCUAACCUAGAUAUCCUAUGAGGCCUGAUAAUUGGUGCCCCCAGCCUUUUUCCCCCAACACGCGAUGUGGGCGCCCCACAUUGCCAUGCGGCCAUGCAUGCCCACAAGCACAUACUCUGAGGCCUUGUUUCAGAUUUUCCAUCAAAUCAAAUAUUUAGACGUAUGCAUUAAGUAUUAAAUAUAGAUUAAAAUAAAAACUAAUUGCACAGUUUGGUCGGAAUUGACGAUACGAAUCUUUUGAAAUCUAGUUAGUAUAUAAUCAGAUAAUAUUUGACAAAUACAAACAAAAGUAGUAUUAUUUCUAUUUUGAAAAAAAAUUGGAACUAAACAAGUUGGGCACUUGCCCUUGCAAGUUGCAAGCUGCCAUCGCUCACACAACUUCAGCAUGGGCAUUGUCUAGAGGUCUCCUUCCUUGAAGAGAGAUUCUUUAGGGAGAGUUGGUGCAUGCACGCCACGAGGCACGGCGUCAGGGUCCUGUGUGUGAGCAUCCGUUGGGACCAGUGGCAGGUGGCGCUUAACCUAUGCGUCCGCGACGAGGUGGUGGUCACACGCAGACGCAGUGGCUGAAAGAUGCACAUGCACGCGAUCUGUGGUUGCGCCGUCGGCACUGAAUUUACUACUGUCGCUAUGGUAUAGCCUUGACAAACUUUGGACAGAAUCAUCAUAUACUACACUGAUUAUAAAACUCAUUGUUAAACCACCCCGUAUCCGUGUAUCGCCAGGUUUCAACUUCGGCGGCUGUGCACGCUUUUGGAGUGGGCACGAGGCACCUCUUGCGAGCGCAUGCUCGCAGAUCCCAUCGGCCAGGCAGCGCGGGGCAGGUUUCGCCCGGGGGAGCAGCAUUUCUGGAGAUACGCGCCCAGUUUUGUUUAUGCUUGCAACUGUGUAUACGUGGGUGGCUUCACAGACAAGCAUAAUCGCAUUUGAUAAUUGGAGGUCACGGAUGCUCCAAAACAUAAAUGGCCGUCCCGUGGUGGCACGCGAGCAGUUCGGCACAUCCGCAGCCAGCAACAGACGCACAACUCACACCUGCGGGCUGCGGCAUGGCGCGAAAUGUUUGGAACGCUCGCCUCUUCCACUGUCAAAAGAUAAACGAUGGGAAGCUUUCGAAUCGCAUCACACAGACACAGCUGUUUGGCGUUGAGUGGAGAAUGACGCGUAAAAGUGCGUGCGGGGGCGCUGGUUUUGGCGUGGACGGCGAGCCAGGCCAUACGUGCGGGGCUGCUGCUGGCUGCUGCGCAGGCGGUGAGUCACGCACAACAAGGCAACCGAUGACUCGACACAUGGACCACGGCUUUCUCCAUACCCAUGGGCCCAUGAUUGGUUGAGUGGGAGGGGACUGACUUUCCGGUGACUCAGCGAUGAGUAGUGAGACGUUACACAAAAGAUAAAGAAAACUGUGGAGUUUCAACGUAUCUGCUGCAAUGAUUUAUGCCAUUUUGUAUCUUCUUGUUUGAGGCCUUGUUUAGUUCAUCCUGAAACCAAACUGUUUUCAAGAUUUCCCAUCACAUCGAAUCUUGUGGCACAUACAUAAAACACUAAAUAUAGAUAAAAAUAAAAACUAAUUACAUAGUUUAGCUAACUUUUCACUUUUCGGAACUAAACAAGGCCUGAGUCGUACAAGAGAUGGUAAUUGCAUCGACAGCUCUGGUUACGCAACUGGAACACUUGCUCAUUUGUUUUGUCGACAUCUCAGUUCGACGAAACCGCUGUAGUGUAGUAAAAAUUCACGUCAGAUCAUUGCUCGCUCUCAGAUUUCCGUUUACUCUGCAGGUUUCUAACGGAUCCAAGACGCAACUUGUCAGUCUGUGGCUUGGGGAUGGGGGAUCGGCAACCAAAAGAACUGGAACUGAUGAUUGCUCACUCUGGUGCCGUUUGCAUGACUGGAGAAGUGGAGAUUCCAGAAAUCUGGAUCAUUUAGCGUGAAAUGAAUUCAAAGAUUUUUAAGACCUGGAGUGAAAAAACUUUGAUAAUCUUUAGAUGGGUACAAACUUUUUAUCAGUCUCAAAAUCUUUAAUCUACUGUAUUAUCAAACGGGCCUCAUCAUAUUCGUGGCGCGGUCAAAGGAGACCUGGCAUCGUUUGCCAAGCUUCAUCUCAUCGUCUGGCCAGCAAUGAAAGCACACACAAAGUACCGUGCGGUUAGUGCGAAAGCAAAUAAGCAGUCACUCAAAACACUUGAAAGCAUGCACAAAGCAGUCAGGAAAUCAUGAACAAGAUUUCUGCGAUCAAAAUUUAUGGGCUAUCAUAACUUCUUGAAAUGCCGCGCGUACAUUUACAAGCCGAUGGUGCUUCCGCACACACCCUCACGCCUCAACCUCUAGCACACACAACCCAAGAGAUCCCAUCAGGGAAAACAGAACCAAGGAGAGGGAGAGCACGCAUGGCAUCGAUCUGAGUUUCCAACCCCGCAGAUGAGGCUGUCAUAAUCGCCUUCUUCAGUCUCCAGAUCCACCCCCGCUUGCCUCUGUUCCCGGCACAAAACUCGUUGCGCGGCGCGGCGCCGGCCGCCGGCGGCCAGCCAGGAGCGCCUCCCCCAGCGGGAUCUCUUGCAGCUGUAGCUGCUCGAUGAACCAGCACGACCUCCUCCUUCUUCUUCUUCUUCCUUGGCCUCACUGUGCUUUGCCUGUCAACUAGCUGGCCACGUACACGUCCGCCUUGGCGGCCACAGAGGCUCCCCUGCUCCGCUGCGACUGCUGCUGCUUCCGCCGGCUGCUGCUGGCGGCCUGCCGCGCGCAGGCCGCGUCGUGGUGCAUCUGCUCGUAGCGGCAGUCCUCGCUGCAGAACGGGGUGUCGCCCUUGUACAUGAAGAUGUCGCUGUUGCGGGUGAGCGGCUUGGAGCAGAGCGCGCAGGCGUCCAGCGCGUGCCGCCC